This 138-nucleotide ribosomal RNA is filed under the name uncultured eukaryote. RNAcentral describes it as "partial 18S ribosomal RNA". It matches the Rfam family "Eukaryotic small subunit ribosomal RNA", at positions 1299 to 1458 of the family's 1831-position model. The record is from RNAcentral.
UGGUGGAGUGAUUUGUCUGGUUAAUUCCGAUAACGAACGAGACCUUAACCUGCUAAAUAGCCAGGCCGGCUCUCGCUGGUCGCCGGCUUCUUAGAGGGACUGUCAGCGUCUAGCUGACGGAAGUUUGAGGCAAUAACA